RNAcentral lists this ribosomal RNA (233 nucleotides) under uncultured bacterium. RNAcentral describes it as "partial 16S ribosomal RNA". It matches the Rfam family "Bacterial small subunit ribosomal RNA", at positions 100 to 334 of the family's 1533-position model. The record is from RNAcentral.
CGGGACGGGUGAGUAAUGUCUGGGAAACUGCCCGAUGGAGGGGGAUAACUACUGGAAACGGUAGCUAAUACCGCAUAACGUCGCAAGACCAAAGAGGGGGACCUUCGGGCCUCUUGCCAUCGGAUGUGCCCAGAUGGGAUUAGCUAGUAGGUGGGGUAACGGCUCACCUAGGCGACGAUCCCUAGCUGGUCUGAGAGGAUGAUCAGCCACACUGGAACUGAGACACGGUCCAG